Molecule: ribosomal RNA, 440 nt
Filed under: uncultured bacterium
Lineage: Bacteria
Description: partial 16S ribosomal RNA
Rfam family: Bacterial small subunit ribosomal RNA
Source: RNAcentral
CCUACGGGUGGCAGCAGUGGGGGAUAUUGCACAAUGGGGGAAACCCUGAUGCAGCGACGCCGCGUGUGGGAAGACGGUCUUCUGGAUUGUAAACCACUGUCCCCAGGGACGAAAAUGACGGUACCUGGGGAGGAAGCUCCGGCUAACUACGUGCCAGCAGCCGCGGUAAUACGUAGGGAGCAAGCGUUGUCCGGAAUUACUGGGUGUAAAGGGAGCGUAGGCGGGGAUGCAAGUUGGGUGUCAAAACUACCGGCUCAACCGAUAGUCGCACUCAAAACUGCAACUCUUGAGUGAAGUAGAGGCAGGCGGAAUUCCUGGUGUAGCGGUGAAAUGCGUAGAUAUUAGGAGGAACACCAGUGGCGAAGGCGGCCUGCUGGGCUUUUACUGACGCUGAGGCUCGAAAGUGUGGGGAGCAAACAGGAUUAGAUACCCUUGUAGUC